UGUGCAUUUAUGGAAAAGGAACAUUUGUUCUCAAGAUUGCAUUUGCUAGAAGCGAGUUGGAUGUAUUCAGUUUUAUCUUUUUGUGUUGAUGGUGGCUAAAAACGUGAGAUCUUCCUUCACUGACAAGUUUAAGAGAAACAACAGGAGGUUCAAAUAUCCAUGGAGAUUUUUCCUCUGAGACUCUGAUGGUUACCUGAAUCCUUGAAGACACUUUCUUAUAACUAUUUUAUUUUGACAAAUGUGAAAAUGGGUGAAAGAAGACUUAAUGGAUUAAGGAAGAUAAUUCCGAGUGUAUCAUGGGACAGCACAUUGGUCAGCCCAGGGCAACAAAAGGAAGGAUAAAUGUUUUAAGAGCAGUGGCUGAAAGUCUUGGAAUCAAGCUGAUAACUCAAAAAGCAAAAUCCAUCUUCAGCCCUCCCAAGGAGACUGGAAGAGGAGUGGUGAUGGAAAAUACCGCUGAUGUACGUGGGGGAGAGGAAGAGAUGCAGUGAAAGGAUUAACAAACAGAUCUGCAACGUUAUUGCAUUGCUCAAGAUGUGGUGACAUAUUUAAGAUGCAUUUCUAGCAAAAAAUAAAAAAAAGAAAAAUUGUAGGCCACUCAUCUAAACAUGGAAAGGAAACGCUCUAGAAAAGAGAGAAGAAAUUCAAGUGGGACUGUGGGAGGUUUGGAGAAGCUUUGGAUGCAGUGCGUAACUGGCAGAAUGACAAUGGUGGCAUGAGGAUGGCUUACAAACUGAUGGGCAAGUGGCUGAGGUGAGUUACACCAACAAAUCAGUGCCACUGAAAUCAGGCCUUGCUAUCUUUAGAACACUUUUGUGUCAAGCUGCGAAUGGUGGUUACUGGAGUGAAGGGAAAGCCACCAGCUGGAUGAACAUUUGCUUCUCCAGAGGGAAAGACUCUGAGAUAUUAUGGGUUUAGUUAUGCUCUAGGAACUCUUAUUAUUCACUUGCCUUGUUUUCUCUUUUCUUCACUAAAAUUUGGAAUAUUUGACUGUUUUGAGUAAAGUAAACUUUGAAGAUGGGCAGAAGUGGUUGCUGUGAGUGCAAUUAGUGUAAUUUCCCCAGCUCUCUGCAUAGGUCCUCAAGCAAGUGUUUAUCUAAGAAGUCCCUUAAAUUUAAAUGCAUCUGUGUUCUCAGCUGAAUCACUACAG
Long non-coding RNA from Parus major (Great Tit), 1150 nucleotides. RefSeq lists it as uncharacterized. NCBI's taxonomy places the organism in Eukaryota, Metazoa, Chordata, Aves, Passeriformes, Paridae. The transcript has 3 exons. The record is from RefSeq and is a predicted model, not a curated record.